This 71-nucleotide transfer RNA is filed under the name Nostoc sp. FACHB-888. It matches the Rfam family "tRNA". Rfam says of the family: Transfer RNA (tRNA) molecules are approximately 80 nucleotides in length. Their secondary structure includes four short double-helical elements and three loops (D, anti-codon, and T loops). The record is from Rfam by way of RNAcentral. Lineage: Bacteria; Bacillati; Cyanobacteriota; Cyanophyceae; Nostocales; Nostocaceae.
GCAAGUAUUUUAGCAAUCAAAACAGAGGACUGAAAAUCCUCGUGUCACCGGUUCAAGUCCGGUUCCUGGCA